UGCUCACAGAUCUGUGUUUUUAUAACAGUUAAAGCUGUUUUCAUGUAGUUGUGAUGUUGUAUUGUGUCAUGUUUAUCAAAAUAAAACUGAUAAAAAACGUAAUAAUAUAUGCUUAUGUAACAGGAUUAGGUGAUUGACAGCAGUGUUUGCCUAUCAGUAAAUAGUACCUCCUAUUUAAAGGCCGAUUGGCUGUUACCUGGGAUGCGUCACGUCCGUUUUUCCCCUUUGUUUUGGCUGUGUUGACGGUGGCUGUGGGUAAGUGUGCUGUGUUUUAAUAUGGUGACUUAGACAUUGUUGGCGUGCAUAAUCUGAAAACUGUUUAUUUAAUUAGAGUGCAGUUUCUAUAUUCUGGUGUUGCUGCCCUUUUGGUGCUGCUUAGUGGGUUUGAUGACUGUUUGCCUCUCAGUAUACAUGACUUCCUGUACCCCAUGGUGGUAGCGGUGGGUAUGACUGUGACAAGCCCGUGCCUAUGAAGCAUUUUAUUCGGCGUGAUAUCCUGAUGGUAAGUGUUUUUUUAUAUCUGGGUGAGCAUAAUAUUAUUCUUUUUAACAUCUCCUUUUGUUCGAUGUGUUUUUUUUUUUGUAAAACUACAAUCUGUCGAUAUGGGCAUGUUUAAUCUAUGAAUGCAAUUCAAAUCGUGUGGUGAUCUACUGUAUAGAAGUUGGUGUUUGUAACAAUUUCAGGUGAUUAACUAUCUGAUUUUCUGGUUACAUUUGUUGCUUCUCCUCACUUCUGUUUGUUGAUACCACUUAUGUGAGGAGUUGCUGCAUUGCUGUUCAUAUUGCCCUCUCUGCCCAGUUUAUUUUCAUAGUUAUUUAUUUUCUUUUUGAUUUAUUGCUGGAGCUGGGGUCCCACGGGUGGUUUGAUCUUCCUCCUUGUGGUGGUGGUUCUCCUUCAUCGUGUGCGGUGUACACCUUGAGUGUUUGAUAGUGUGAUUAGAGUGCACGGGUGUGUGUGCGCGUGGCAGUGUGCUCUUGUGAAACCAAACUCUACAUUGAUCCCAGCCGUUGGGAGCCUCAGCUCCUGCUGGUAUUAAUCCGUCUUUGUUUUACAUAUACAUACUACCUCAAGUUGGUUUUGUUUGAUAUCUUUCUCUUUUUGUAAUUUGUGUUCGAAGUGGGGUUUCGUGUAUUUUUCUGUGAUUCAUUGUUUUGUAUUUUAAUUAACUUUUGUAUUAAUAAACAUUUUGUAUUUUUU
Molecule: long non-coding RNA, 1197 nt
Organism: Megalobrama amblycephala (Wuchang bream)
Lineage: Eukaryota; Metazoa; Chordata; Actinopteri; Cypriniformes; Xenocyprididae
Exons: 2
Source: RefSeq, a predicted model, not a curated record